RNAcentral lists this non-coding RNA (27 nucleotides) under Homo sapiens (human). The record is from RNAcentral. Lineage: Eukaryota; Metazoa; Chordata; Mammalia; Primates; Hominidae.
AGCAAGAAGGGGUGUUUAAAGUCUUGA